Molecule: ribosomal RNA, 253 nt
Filed under: uncultured bacterium
Lineage: Bacteria
Description: partial 16S ribosomal RNA
Rfam family: Bacterial small subunit ribosomal RNA
Source: RNAcentral
UACGUAGGGCGCAAGCGUUGUCCGGAAUUACUGGGCGUAAAGCGCGUGUAGGCGGCCAACUAAGUCGGGCGUGAAAUCCCACGGCUCAACCGUGGAAGUGCACUCGAAACUGGAUGGCUAGAGUCCUGGAGAGGAAGGUGGAAUGCUUGGUGUAGAGGUGAAAUUCGUAGAUAUCAAGCGGAACACCGGUGGCGAAGGCGGCCUUCUGGACAGUGACUGACGCUGAGACGCGAAAGCGUGGGGAGCAAACAGG